RNAcentral lists this ribosomal RNA (430 nucleotides) under uncultured bacterium. Its description in RNAcentral is "bacterial SSU rRNA". It matches the Rfam family "Bacterial small subunit ribosomal RNA", at positions 355 to 776 of the family's 1533-position model. The record is from RNAcentral.
UAAGGAAUUUUGCGCAAUGAGCGAAAGCUUGACGCAGCAACGCCGCGUGAUCGAAGAAGCUCUGCGGAGUGUAAAGAUCUGUCAUAGGGGAAGAAGAAUUUCGUUAUUAACACCAUCGGAACGUGACGGUACCCUAUAAGAAAGCCCCGGCUAACUUCGUGCCAGCAGCCGCGGUAAUACGAGGGGGGCAAGCGUUGUCCGGAUUUAUUGGGCGUAAAGAGUUCGUAGGCGGGUUAGUCAGUCGAAAUUGAAAUCCCACGGCUUAACCGUGGUUCCGGUUUUGAUACUGCUAAUCUUGAGUGAGACAGAGGUAAGCGGAAUUCCUGGUGUAGCGGUGAAAUGCGUAGAUAUCAGGAGGAACACCAAAGGCGAAGGCAGCUUACUGGGUCUAUACUGACGCUGAGGAACGAAAGCGUGGGGAGCAAACAGG